This 406-nucleotide ribosomal RNA is filed under the name uncultured bacterium. Its description in RNAcentral is "partial 16S ribosomal RNA". It matches the Rfam family "Bacterial small subunit ribosomal RNA", at positions 30 to 526 of the family's 1533-position model. The record is from RNAcentral.
AUUGAACGCUGGCGGCAGGCCUAACACAUGCAAGUCGAACGAGUGGCGGACGGGUGCGUAAUGUCUGGGAAACUGCCUGAUGGAGGGGGAUAACUACUGGAAACGGUAGCUAAUACCGCAUACCAUCGGAUGUGCCCAGAUGGGAUUAGCUAGUAGGUGGGGUAACGGCUCACAUAGGCGACGAUCCCUCGCUGGUCUGAGAGGAGGACCAGCCAACCGGGAACUGAGACACGGUCCAGACUCCUACGGGAGGCAGCAGUGGGGAAUAUUGCACAAUGUGCGCAAGCCUGAGGCAGCCAUGCCGCGUGGAUGAAGAAGGCCUUCGGGUUGUAAAGUACUUUCAGCUGGGAGGCGUUACCCGCAGAAGAAGCACCGGCUAACUCCGUGCCAGCAGCCGCGGUAAUUC